CUUUCUGUGGUUUCAGUUACCUGUGGUGAACUGUAAGUAGCCUGGAAGCAGGUGAUCCUCCAUCUGAUGAAUCAGCAGAAAGUCAAUAAUAGCCUGACUCUGCAAUCACAAUGCCUACGUCAUUCACCUCACGUCAUCUCAUCAUUUGGUGUUUUAUCAUCUCGCAUCAUCACAAGAAGAAGGGGGCUUCCUUGAAAAUGUGAUUAUAAAGUUAAAAAGAAGAAUAAAAUAUAAACAAAAAUGGGCAUUGCCUAAAUUUAAUUUUGCAUUUGACCAUUUACUCCUCUAAGGAAAAGGAGUAAAAAUUAC
Molecule: long non-coding RNA, 309 nt
Filed under: Mustela putorius furo (domestic ferret)
Lineage: Eukaryota; Metazoa; Chordata; Mammalia; Carnivora; Mustelidae
Description: lncRNA (ENSMPUG00000027145.1)
Source: RNAcentral